This 465-nucleotide ribosomal RNA is filed under the name Vreelandella stevensii. Its description in RNAcentral is "partial 16S ribosomal RNA". It matches the Rfam family "Bacterial small subunit ribosomal RNA", at positions 338 to 795 of the family's 1533-position model. The record is from RNAcentral. Lineage: Bacteria; Pseudomonadati; Pseudomonadota; Gammaproteobacteria; Oceanospirillales; Halomonadaceae.
CCUACGGGCGGCUGCAGUGGGGAAUAUUGGACAAUGGGCGAAAGCCUGAUCCAGCCAUGCCGCGUGUGUGAAGAAGGCCUUCGGGUUGUAAAGCACUUUCAGUGGGGAAGAAAGCCUUGGGGCUAAUACCCUCGAGGAAGGACAUCACCCACAGAAGAAGCACCGGCUAACUCCGUGCCAGCAGCCGCGGUAAUACGGAGGGUGCGAGCGUUAAUCGGAAUUACUGGGCGUAAAGCGCGCGUAGGCGGUCUGAUAAGCCGGUUGUGAAAGCCCCGGGCUCAACCUGGGAACGGCAUCCGGAACUGUCAGGCUAGAGUGCAGGAGAGGAAGGUAGAAUUCCCGGUGUAGCGGUGAAAUGCGUAGAGAUCGGGAGGAAUACCAGUGGCGAAGGCGGCCUUCUGAACUGACACUGACGCUGAGGUGCGAAAGCGUGGGUAGCAAACAGGAUUAGAUACCCGUGUAGUC